This 1286-nucleotide long non-coding RNA is filed under the name Lactuca sativa (garden lettuce). Its description in RNAcentral is "long non-coding RNA (LSAT_LNC002206)". The record is from RNAcentral. Lineage: Eukaryota; Viridiplantae; Streptophyta; Magnoliopsida; Asterales; Asteraceae.
CUCGUUUUAUUGAAUCAUUGUCAUUAUCCCACAAUGAUGAUUUUGAGUUUAAUGAAAUUAAACUCCGCGUUAAACUCUCAUUAGAGAUGGCCUAAGUGUCACCAUUUAGCCAUGUAAGGGUUUGUUUUAUAUGUGACUGGGUCCGGUCAGCUGUUUUGGCUGACUCGGUCCAGUCAGCUUGUUUGAUAAAGCGAUAAAAUGUCUUGACUCGGUCCAUUGUUCUGACUCGGUCAUGUAAAAGUCAGCUUGUUUGAUAAAGCGAUAAAAUGCUUUGACUCGGUCCAUUGCUGUGACUCGGUCAUGUAAAAUCGUCUGAUUCGGUCGUUCCUAGAAAAGAGAUUGACCGAGAAAUUUCUCCACUUUGCCGUGAAGCUUUGAACUCCCCCCAUCGUGAACGACACAAUGCUAUCUCCUUCAUUGGCCCUUCCUAGCCUGCAACCUCCUUCCUUCUUCGUCUCCUUCUUCCGUCGGCGCCGACCAUUCAAUCGAUUUAUUCUUCCUUUAAUUUUUGCAUGUAAGGGCUUUCUUCUUCAAUCGGUUUCUUCUUCCGUUAAAUUUUGCAGGAGAGAGACAAUUUCUUCAAUCAAUUUAUUUUUCCUUUAACUUUUACAGGAGAGAGAAUAUCGAUUGGUCGGGAGAAAGAUAGAAAAGGAGAACGUGUUUGCUUUGAUUUUUUUUCUGCAAUGUAGUAAUACCAAGUGACUUUUUUGUAUUGACUACUAUCUCCAUCGAUUUCUAUACACAGUGUGAUCUUUUGAUAGGCUUGUUUAUUGUUGCUUCGUUUCUAGUGCCACAUUUAUGGAAGAGACAAAAAAAUUGGUUUGACUCUUUGAAUUUCCAUGUGAGUUUUGUGUCUAGCUUUUCAACAAUUCUAUUCUUAUUGCUUUCAAUCGUGAUCUUGUUCAUGAUAAAACAUUGUAUCUUGUAAAAACACUACUUUAUAUGAAGUCUACAUUUCCAUGUUGUGUUCCAAAUUUCAUUUGUUUCUAAUAGGCUUUAACAACUCAACUUUUCUGUUUAAUUUUUGUGUAUCUAGGAAAUUUAAAACUUGUUAAUUGUUAGGUACUGGGUGACAUGGAUAGAAUUGUUUCCGUGUCAUCUACUUCCUUUAGUUUAUUUUUUUCAGGGAGAGGAGUCUGAGGAUGAUUCAAAUGAUGGUGAAGUAUUGUAUUGAAAGUCAAAGUUGGUGUUCCAAAUUGCUUUGUAAUUCGAUUGAAAAAAAAUAAUUCAUGUGUUUUUAUUAUGUUCUCUUUGCGUAUGUGUAUGUAUCAUCAAUGUUCAUUGCC